AUUGAACGCUGGCGGCAUGCCUUACACAUGCAAGUCGAACGGCAGCACGGGUGCUUGCACCUGGUGGCGAGUGGCGAACGGGUGAGUAAUACAUCGGAACGUACCUUAUCGUGGGGGAUAACGCAGCGAAAGUUGCGCUAAUACCGCAUACGCCCUGAGGGGGAAAGCGGGGGACCGUAAGGCCUCGCGCGAGUAGAGCGGCCGAUGUCUGAUUAGCUGGUUGGUGAGGUAAAAGCUAACCAAGGCGAUGAGCAGUAGCUGGUCUGAGAGGACGAUCAGCCACACUGGGACUGAGACACGGCCCAGACUCCUACGGGAGGCAGCAGUGGGGAAUUUUGGACAAUGGGGGCAACCCUGAUCCAGCAAUGCCGCGUGAGUGAAGAAGGCCUUCGGGUUGUAAAGCUCUUUUGUCAGGGAAGAAACAGCAGCUCUAACACAGUCUGCGAAUGACGGUACCUGAAGAAUAAGCACCGGCUAACUACGUGCCAGCAGCCGCGGUAA
RNAcentral lists this ribosomal RNA (501 nucleotides) under uncultured bacterium. Its description in RNAcentral is "partial 16S ribosomal RNA". It matches the Rfam family "Bacterial small subunit ribosomal RNA", at positions 29 to 523 of the family's 1533-position model. The record is from RNAcentral.